AGCAGCCGCGGUAAUUCCAGCUCCAAUAGCGUAUAUUAAAGUUGUUGCAGUUAAAAAGCUCGUAGUUGAAUUUCGGGGUUCAUCCGUUGGUCGGGCUUUUUUGGUCUGUACUGGCGUGAUGGAUUCCUACCUUCUGAAUAACCGGCAUGUCAUUAAUUUGGUGCGCCGGGGAAGCAGGACUGUUACCUUGAAAAAUUAGAGUGCUUAAAGCAGGCUAUCGCCUGAAUACAUUAGCAUGGAAUAAUGAAAUAGGACGGCAUGGUUCUAUUUUGUUGGUUUCUAGGAUCACCGUAAUGAUUAAUAGGGAUAGUUGGGGGCAUUAGUAUUCAAUUGUCAGAGGUGAAAUUCUUGGAUUUAUUGAAGACUAACUUCUGCGAAAGCAUUUGCCAAGGAUGUUUUCAUUAAUCAAGAACGAAAGUUAGGGGAUCGAAGACGAUCAGAUACCGUCGU
Molecule: ribosomal RNA, 450 nt
Filed under: uncultured Glomeromycotina
Lineage: Eukaryota; Fungi; Glomeromycota
Description: SSU rRNA
Rfam family: Eukaryotic small subunit ribosomal RNA
Source: RNAcentral